This 253-nucleotide ribosomal RNA is filed under the name uncultured prokaryote. Its description in RNAcentral is "partial 16S ribosomal RNA". It matches the Rfam family "Bacterial small subunit ribosomal RNA", at positions 525 to 777 of the family's 1533-position model. The record is from RNAcentral.
ACGGGGGGGGCUAGCGUUGUUCGGAAUUACUGGGCGUAAAGCGCACGUAGGCGGCUUUGUAAGUUAGAGGUGAAAGCCCAGGGCUUAACCCUGGAAUUGCCUUUAAGACUGCAUCGCUUGAAUCCGGGAGAGGUGAGUGGAAUUCCGAGUGUAGAGGUGAAAUUCGUAGAUAUUCGGAAGAACACCGGUGGCGAAGGCGGGUCUCUGGGCAUUUCCUGACGCUGAGGCGCGAAAGCGUGGGGAGCAAACGGGA